Molecule: non-coding RNA, 106 nt
Filed under: Janthinobacterium sp. KBS0711
Lineage: Bacteria; Pseudomonadati; Pseudomonadota; Betaproteobacteria; Burkholderiales; Oxalobacteraceae
Also listed under: 1 other name
Description: Glycine riboswitch aptamer
Rfam family: Glycine riboswitch aptamer
About the family: This family represents the bacterial glycine riboswitch. Glycine riboswitches usually consist of two metabolite-binding aptamers domains with similar structures in tandem.
Source: Rfam by way of RNAcentral
CAGCUCAACUCUGGAGAGCGGCCGCGGCUAUUGCCGGCGGCCCACCGAAGGGGCGCACGGGGCAAGCCCCCGUAAUCUCUCAGGUACAAAGGACAGGGGGGUCAGU